Molecule: non-coding RNA, 75 nt
Organism: Podarcis lilfordi (Lilford's wall lizard)
Lineage: Eukaryota; Metazoa; Chordata; Lepidosauria; Squamata; Lacertidae
Source: the annotation of a GenBank genome assembly
AGGCAGCUCUGCGCGGCCAUCCGGAGCGGGGUGGGACUUCGCGCCCCGCUCCGGAUGGCCGCGCAGAGCUGCGCU